GUAACACGUAGUCAACAUGCCCAGGGGACGUGGAUAACCUCGGGAAACUGAGAAUAAACCGCGAUAGGUCACAAUUUCUGGAAUGGAUUUUGGCUUAAAUCUAUAUGGCCCCUGGAUUGGACUGCGGCCGAUCAGGCUGUUGGUGAGGUAAUGGCCCACCAAACCUGUAACCGGUACGGGCUCUGAGAGGAGGAGCCCGGAGAUGGGCACUGAGACAAGGGCCCAGGCCCUAUGGGGCGCAGCAGGCGCGAAACCUCUGCAAUGGGCGAAAGCCUGACAGGGUUACUCUGAGUGAUUUCCGCUAAGGGGAUCUUUUGACACCUCUAAAAAUGGUGUAGAAUAAGGGGUGGGCAAGUCUGGUGUCAGCCGCCGCGGUAAUACCAGCACCCCGAGUGGUCGGGACGAUUAUUGGGCCUAAAGCAUCCGUAGCCGGUUCUUCAAGUCUUCCGUUAAAUCCAGCCGCUCAACGGAUGGGCUGCGGAAGAUACUAUAGGACU
Molecule: ribosomal RNA, 497 nt
Filed under: uncultured archaeon
Lineage: Archaea
Description: bacterial SSU rRNA
Rfam family: Archaeal small subunit ribosomal RNA
Source: RNAcentral